UUGAGACUGGAGACAGACGGGAACAGCCACAGGCAGACUGAGGUGGCAAUAGGAAAUCUGCCGAGAUGUUCAGUCAGGUGCCCAGGACCCCAGCCUCAGGCUGCUACUACCUAAAUUCCAUGACACCUGAGGGCCAGGAGAUGUACUUGCGAUUUGAUCAGACUACAAGACGCUCUCCUUACAGGAUGAGCCGGAUUCUAGCACGCCAUCAGCUAGUGACUAAAAUUCAACAAGAAAUUGAGGCAAAAGAAGCAUGUGACUGGCUCCGUGCUGCCGGGUUCCCGCAAUACGCUCAGUUAUAUGAGGAUUCACAAUUUCCCAUCAACAUUGUGGCUGUCAAGAAUGAUCAUGAUUUUCUUGAAAAGGACCUUGUAGAACCUCUUUGCAGGUACUCAGGAUGACUUUUAUAUGCCUAAGCUUUCAGGAAGAAUGUGUAAGAAGAUACAAAAUCAGGGAGGAGAUUGAGGGGAAGAGAGAGACUUUAUAUUCUUGUUAUUCACUUCUCUAUGUAUAUUUCAGGUGUUUGUAUUGCAUUAUUAAAAACAUUAGCAAUGUUUUAAAAAA
This 564-nucleotide small RNA is filed under the name Pan troglodytes (chimpanzee). RNAcentral's name for it is "processed transcript". Lineage: Eukaryota; Metazoa; Chordata; Mammalia; Primates; Hominidae. The record is from RNAcentral.